AUUACUCAGCUGUUCUAGUGGUCUGAGACAGGUGUUAGAUUACUCAGCUGUUCUAGUGGUCUGAGGCAGGUGUUAGAUUACUCAGCUGUUCUAGUGGUCUGAGGCAGGUGUUAGAUUACUCAGCUGUUCUAGUGGUCUGAGACAGGUGUUAUAUUACUCAGCUGUUCUAGUGGUCUGAGGCAGGUGUUAGAUUACUCAGCUGUUCUAGUGGUCUGAGGCAGGAGGUAGAUUACUCAGCUGUUCUAGUGGUCUGAGGCAGGUGUUAGAUUACUCAGCUGUUCUAGUGGUCUGAGACAGGUGUUAGAUUACUCAGCUGUUCUAGUGGUCUGAGGCAGGUGGUAGAUUACUCAGCUGUUCUAGUGGUCUGAGGCAGGUGGUAGAUUACUCAGCUGUUCUAGUGGUCUGAGGCAGGUGUUAGAUUACUCAGCUGUUCUAGUGGUCUGAGGCAGGUGUUAGAUUACUCAGCUGUUCUAGUGGUCUGAGGCAGGUGGUAGGUUACUCAGCUGUUCUAGUGGUCUGAGGCAGGUGGUAGAUUACUCAGCUGUUCUAGUGGUCUGAGACAGGUGUUAAAUUACAAGCGUUUUCAAUUGUAACGUUAAUAUUAUUACAUUGUGAUGUGUCGUGGAAUUAUCAGAAUUGGUUGGUAACAUUUGUAAGAUGUUUUAUAUCAAAUGUGUGUAGGUUAUUUCUCAUAAGAAUGUAUUUUGUUGUACUAUAGUGGUGGCCAUUGGCAGUUAUCUGUUCUAUGUCAGGACUAAGUUGCAUGGGCCGCAGAGAGGGGAGAGGUCAAAGUGUCAUCAUGUGUAAACAUGUCUUUUACUCCCUACCUUUCCCAGUGGGGAAAGGAAGGUUGCAGUGUCUGGAAUCAUUCUAUGCUCCCUCUUUGUUGACCUGUAGGGUCAGUCUCCUAUCUGUGUUUCCCUCUUAUGUUGUUUCUAUCUUAACCUUUAGCCUCACCCUCCUCUCCGUGAGUUUGUCCAAUAGUUUGUAUUUUGAGUGGGUUGUAUAUAAAUGACAAUUUGAUAUAUGCCUGUUGAUAUGGAGGAAUUGGUUUAUGGUUCUGGGGUUUGGGAAAGGAGACAAAGCUGAACGAUGAGUUAUGUCUAUGCUGUCUGACUAUGUGUGUCUUUGCUAUUAAAAGGAACUCAGUUGCAUUGUAAGGGGACUCUCAGAGAAUUCACUGGGGAGACACUGAAUUUAUCUGAGAGUCACAGGAUUGUGAUAGAGCUCGUAUAAUUAAAGAUGGACUUUUAUAACUAACUCUGACGUGUGUGUGUGGUUUGCUCCCAUGAUUUGGUAAAUAG
Molecule: long non-coding RNA, 1304 nt
Organism: Oncorhynchus tshawytscha (Chinook salmon)
Lineage: Eukaryota; Metazoa; Chordata; Actinopteri; Salmoniformes; Salmonidae
Source: Ensembl